CAGCAGCCGCGGUAAUACAGAGGGUGCGAGCGUUAAUCGGAUUUACUGGGCGUAAAGCGUGCGUAGGCGGCUUCUUAAGUCGGAUGUGAAAUCCCUGAGCUUAACUUAGGAAUUGCAUUCGAUACUGGAAAGCUAGAGUAUGGGAGAGGAUGGUAGAAUUCCAGGUGUAGCGGUGAAAUGCGUAGAGAUCUGGAGGAAUACCGAUGGCGAAGGCAGCCAUCUGGCCUAAUACUGACGCUGAGGUACGAAAGCAUGGGGAGCAAACAGGAUUAGAUACCCCCGUAGUCCCUGUCUCUUAUAA
RNAcentral lists this ribosomal RNA (301 nucleotides) under uncultured bacterium. RNAcentral's name for it is "partial 16S ribosomal RNA". It matches the Rfam family "Bacterial small subunit ribosomal RNA", at positions 509 to 809 of the family's 1533-position model. The record is from RNAcentral.